CGCGUAGGCGGGCUCGCCAGUCAGGGGUGAAAUCCUCCAGCUCAACUGGAGAAGUGCCUUUGAUACUGCGAGUCUCGAGGGAGGUAGGGGCGUGCGGAACUUCCGGUGGAGCGGUGAAAUGCGUAGAUAUCGGAAGGAACACCGGUGGCGAAAGCGGCGCGCUGGACCUCUUCUGACGCUGAGGCGCGAAAGCCAGGGAGCAAACG
RNAcentral lists this ribosomal RNA (206 nucleotides) under uncultured bacterium. Its description in RNAcentral is "partial 16S ribosomal RNA". It matches the Rfam family "Bacterial small subunit ribosomal RNA", at positions 568 to 774 of the family's 1533-position model. The record is from RNAcentral.